CCUACGGGUGGCAGCAGUGAGGAAUAUUGGUCAAUGGACGGAAGUCUGAACCAGCCAUGCCGCGUGCAGGAAGACGGCUCUAUGAGUUGUAAACUGCUUUUGUACAAGGGUAAACCUGAAUACGUGUAUUCAGCUGAACGUACUUUACGAAUAAGGAUCGGCUAACUCCGUGCCAGCAGCCGCGGCAAUACGGAGGAUCCAAGCGUUAUACGGAUUUAUUGGGUUUAAAGGGUGCGUAGGCGGAUUGAUAAGUUAGAGGUGAAAUGUCCGAGCUUAACUCGGGAACUGCCUCUAAUCCUGUUGAUCUAGAGAGUAGGUGAGGUAGGCGGAAUGUAUGGUGUAGCGGUGAAAUGCGUAGAGAUCAGACAGAACACCGAUGGCGAAGGCGGCUAACCAGUAUAUAUCUGACGUUGAGGCACGAAAGCGUGGGGAGCAAACAGGAUUAGAUACCCCAGUAGUC
RNAcentral lists this ribosomal RNA (460 nucleotides) under uncultured bacterium. RNAcentral's name for it is "partial 16S ribosomal RNA". It matches the Rfam family "Bacterial small subunit ribosomal RNA", at positions 338 to 795 of the family's 1533-position model. The record is from RNAcentral.